RNAcentral lists this ribosomal RNA (497 nucleotides) under uncultured bacterium. RNAcentral's name for it is "partial 16S ribosomal RNA". It matches the Rfam family "Bacterial small subunit ribosomal RNA", at positions 28 to 507 of the family's 1533-position model. The record is from RNAcentral.
GAUGAACGCUGGCGGCGUGCCUAAUACAUGCAAGUCGAGCGAACAGACGAGGAGCUUGCUCCUCUGACGUUAGCGGCGGACGGGUGAGUAACACGUGGAUAACCUACCUAUAAGACUGGGAUAACUUCGGGAAACCGGAGCUAAUACCGGAUAACAUGUUGAACCGCAUGGUUCAACAAUGAAAGACGGUCUUGCUGUCACUUAUAGAUGGAUCCGCGCCGCAUUAGCUAGUUGGUAAGGUAACGGCUUACCAAGGCAACGAUGCGUAGCCGACCUGAGAGGGUGAUCGGCCACACUGGAACUGAGACACGGUCCAGACUCCUACGGGAGGCAGCAGUAGGGAAUCUUCCGCAAUGGGCGAAAGCCUGACGGAGCAACGCCGCGUGAGUGAAGAAGGUCUUCGGAUCGUAAAACUCUGUUAUUAGGGAAGAACAAAUGUGUAAGUAACUAUGCACGUCUUGACGGUACCUAAUCAGAAAGCCACGGCUAACUACGUG